Molecule: transfer RNA, 77 nt
Filed under: Lentisphaerota bacterium
Lineage: Bacteria; Pseudomonadati; Lentisphaerota
Also listed under: 1 other name
Description: Lentisphaerae bacterium (anaerobic digester metagenome) tRNA-Ala
Rfam family: tRNA
About the family: Transfer RNA (tRNA) molecules are approximately 80 nucleotides in length.
Source: RNAcentral
GGGGCAUUAGCUCAGUUGGCUAGAGCGUCUGCGUGGCACGCAGAAGGUCAUCGGUUCGAGCCCGAUAUGCUCCACCA